RNAcentral lists this ribosomal RNA (257 nucleotides) under Blastocystis sp. Its description in RNAcentral is "partial small subunit ribosomal RNA". It matches the Rfam family "Eukaryotic small subunit ribosomal RNA", at positions 18 to 292 of the family's 1831-position model. The record is from RNAcentral. Lineage: Eukaryota; Bigyra; Opalinata; Blastocystidae.
UAGUAGUCAUACGCUCGUCUCAAAGAUUAAGCCAUGCAUGUGUAAGUGUAAAUAUACUAGUUUGGAGCUGCGAAUGCCUCAUUAUAUCAGUUAUAGUUUAUUUGGUGAAGUGUACUACUAGGAUAGCCGUAGUAAUUGUAGGGCUAAUACAUGAGAAAGUCCUCUGGUGAGGUGUGUUUAUUAGAAAGAAAACCACAUGCUUCGGCAUGAUAGUGAGUAAUAGUAACCUAUCGUAUCGCAUGCUUAAUGUAGCGAUG